RNAcentral lists this ribosomal RNA (459 nucleotides) under uncultured bacterium. RNAcentral describes it as "partial 16S ribosomal RNA". It matches the Rfam family "Bacterial small subunit ribosomal RNA", at positions 338 to 795 of the family's 1533-position model. The record is from RNAcentral.
CCUACGGGUGGCAGCAGUGAGGAAUCUUGGUCAAUGGGCGCGAGCCUGAACCAGCCAAGUCGCGUGAGUGAAGACGGUCCUAUGGAUUGUAAACCUCUUUUGUCGGGGAGCAAAAGACGCCACGCGUGGCGUUCCGAGAGUACCCGAAGAAAAAGCAUCGGCUCACUCCGUGCCCGCAGCCGCUGUAAUACGGAGGAUGCGAGCGCUAUCCGGAUUUUUUGGGGUUAAGGGGUGCGCAGGCGGAAGAUCAAGUCAGCGGUAAAAUUGAGGGGCUCAACCUCGUCGAGCCGUUGAAACUGGUUUUCUUGAGUGAGUGAGAAGAAUGCGGAAGGCGUGGUGUAGCGGUGAAAUGCAUAGAUAUCACGCAGAACUCCGAUUGCGAAGGCAGCAUACCGGCGCUCAACUGACGCUGAUGCACGAAAGUGUGGGUAUCGAACAGGAUUAGAUACCCUGGUAGUC